Long non-coding RNA from Perognathus longimembris pacificus (Pacific pocket mouse), 480 nucleotides. RefSeq lists it as uncharacterized. The record is from RefSeq and is a predicted model, not a curated record. The transcript is spliced from 2 exons. NCBI's taxonomy places the organism in Eukaryota, Metazoa, Chordata, Mammalia, Rodentia, Heteromyidae.
UCCUCGGAUCUCAGCCUCCAGAGUAGCUAGGAUUACAGUGAGCCACAGUGAGCCACCAGCACCUCUGCUUCAAUGAAUUAUUUUUACUGUUCUUAGCUCCUUGCCUUCCAGGGAAGCCAGAGCUUUAGAGUGUUGCUAACACUGGACACCAGCAGGGGGCGCCCAAAGCACUUAGGACUGCACGGCCAGGUCUGGCUGCAGUAAGUGGACUCCACCCCAUUCCUCCCCGCCGAGGCCCUGCAGAGGACAGAAUUGUUCCCAUAUGCAAACAGACUCCAGACAACUGAAAGCUGCGCUCAUGAGAAACAGCAGCAUGAGCAAAGCUCAAUAAAACAAAAGCAAGCUCCAAAUAUGUUCUCAGGACCUUCAGUCCUGUUAGAUACUGGUUGGAAGAGGGGGGUUUUUGGUCACACAAAUUUAAAUCGCCUCCAUUCUCCUCUUAGAGCUUACCAUCAUACUUCAGCAUAAGGGCUCCAAGAA